Non-coding RNA from Schistosoma mansoni, 45 nucleotides. Lineage: Eukaryota; Metazoa; Platyhelminthes; Trematoda; Strigeidida; Schistosomatidae. The record is from Rfam.
AUUUAGCUGAAGAGUCUCAGACAGGAAGAAACGCACGUCCUGGAU